Antechinus flavipes (yellow-footed antechinus) is the source of this 1191-nucleotide long non-coding RNA. RefSeq lists it as uncharacterized. The transcript has 2 exons. The record is from RefSeq and is a predicted model, not a curated record. Lineage: Eukaryota; Metazoa; Chordata; Mammalia; Dasyuromorphia; Dasyuridae.
CCGGACCUGACGACGCUGAUGUGGAACUGGUCCUCGGGCAGCGCCCUCCAGGCUCCGGGCAGGAACUCCUUGCACCAGAGGCUUCUCUAGAUCUACUUGGAGACUCUGUCCCCACUCACACUAAUGAGGUCCCCGGCAAGGCUGGGGCAGAAAAGAACCUACAGAAAAAGAAGCAACAGAAAGGCCCAAGUCUGCCCGGGUGGGGAGAGCGGGGGCCUAGCAUUGGCGAUGGCCCUGGAGCUCUCGGCAAUGACUCCAGGGGAGAGAAGGUCUCCCUCUUUGUGGACACCCGACCGACCAAGUGGCAAUUCAUCCCUGCUCCGGGGAGCCCACAAACUGCUGGCUAUUCAGAGGGGUCCGGAGGACCGAGACCCACGAUCCCUGCGUCUCCUGGCGGGCGAUGGCAGGCCGAGGGAGCUGUGCUUGUGCACGAAGGCUGGCUGCUCGGUGUAACCAUCCCUUUUUGUUUACCCAUGAAUACUUGCAGCUGUUUUUCUCUGGGUGUUCAUAUUCUUGGAGCACUUUUCUGUUGGGGAAUGAGCCUUCUCCUUUUUAAAAUUCAGGACCAGAGCCUUUCUCCACUUCCCACUGAGGGACUGUUUUCCUUACCCUGCACAGGGCCUCAGGGCGGUUCACUCCCUCUCUGCUCGUCCAAUAAGUCCUGGCCUCCGUGCCCAGCCUGGGUCCAAGUCACCCUGGAUCACCUUAUCAUCCACAUGCGCCUGCCCAGCUCCCAGCCCGGUCCUGGCCAUGUCAUGCGCCUCUCUUACUCCACAGACCCACAGCCCAGCCUGGGCCUGCUCCGGGCUCGUGCCCGCUCCCGCUGCCCGGCGAUCUCGGGACCCCCGACUUUGGCUCCCACCUUUCUCUGCUGUCCAGAGCGGCUUGAUCUUGGCCAAGUCUCUUGUUCUCUCAGCCUCAGUGUCCCUGUCUGCAAGACUACCUCUUCUCUGAGAUCUCCUCCAGUCCUAACAACGUGGGGGGCUACAUCCGGGGCCUCCUUCACUCUCAGCAUUUGACUUGUCAGGGAAAAUCUGGGCCAUGCAACGCGAGUCCAUCCUGCUUGCUGACAGAGCCCUUCAGAACAGCCCUCUUAAGUUCCUCUGUGCAUUAGGAAACUCCUACCCUAAGGGAGCUUGGAAAAAAUACAUAAUGUACAUUUUACUGAAAACAAGUUUUUAAAAAUGUUAA